CGGUCGUAUUUAUUAGGUACCAAACGGAACAGACUGAAACAGGGAGGCACUAUCAAACAGACAUGGGCUGAGCUGAAGGGGUGGGGCGGGCAGACUUUACACUGAGGCUCCAUACCCGGAGCCAGGCCAAGUGUUACGGACCAUUCUGUGGUGUAACGGUGAGCACUGAAGGGAGUUGCUGGGUUGGAGUAGAGGGUAGUUUCCACAGACUGGGAAGCUGAUGGAUAGAGGAGAGUCCACCUGGCCGUGCUGCUGCUCCAGUUUCAACUGUUCUGCCUGCGGCUAUGGAACCCUGACCUGUUCACCGGACGUGCUACCUGUCCUAGACCUGCUGUUUUCAACUCUCUAGAGACAGCAGUAGCGGUAGAGAUACUCUCAAUGAUCGGCUAUGAAAAGCCAACUGACAUUUACUCUUGAGGUGCUGACUUUUUGCACCCUCGACAACCACUGUGAUUAUUAUUAUUUGACCAUGCUGGUCAUUUAUGAACAUUUGAACAUCUUGGCCAUGUUCUGUUAUAAUCUCCACCCGGCACAGCCAGAAGAGG
Molecule: long non-coding RNA, 545 nt
Filed under: Salmo salar (Atlantic salmon)
Lineage: Eukaryota; Metazoa; Chordata; Actinopteri; Salmoniformes; Salmonidae
Description: lncRNA (ENSSSAG00000094172.1)
Source: RNAcentral